Molecule: ribosomal RNA, 253 nt
Filed under: uncultured bacterium
Lineage: Bacteria
Description: partial 16S ribosomal RNA
Rfam family: Bacterial small subunit ribosomal RNA
Source: RNAcentral
GACAGAGGGGGCAAGCGUUGCUCGGAAUUACUGGGCGUAAAGCGUGCGCAGGCGGUGAUGUAAGACAGAUGUGAAAUCCCCGGGCUCAACCUGGGAACUGCAUUUGUGACUGCAUCGCUGGAGUGCGGCAGAGGGGGAUGGAAUUCCGCGUGUAGCAGUGAAAUGCGUAGAUAUGCGGAGGAACACCGAUGGCGAAGGCAAUCCCCUGGGCCUGCACUGACGCUCAUGCACGAAAGCGUGGGGAGCAAACAGG